AGAGUUUGAUCCUGGCUCAGAGCGAACGCUGGCGGCAGGCCUAACACAUGCAAGUCGAGCGCCCCGCAAGGGGAGCGGCAGACGGGAGAGUAACACGUGGGAACGUACCCUUUGGUUCGGAACAACCCAGGGAAACUUGGGCUAAUACCGGAUAAGUCCGUAAGGAGAAAGAUUUAUCGCCGAAGGAUCGGCCCGCGUCUGAUUAGCUAGUUGGUGAGGUAACGGCUCACCAAGGCGACGAUCAGUAGCUGGUCUGAGAGGAUGAUCAGCCUCACUGGGACUGAGACACGGCCCAGACUCCUACGGGAGGCAGCAGUGGGGAAUAUUGGACAAUGGGCGCAAGCCUGAUCCAGCCAUGCCGCGUGGGU
This 368-nucleotide ribosomal RNA is filed under the name uncultured bacterium. RNAcentral's name for it is "bacterial SSU rRNA". It matches the Rfam family "Bacterial small subunit ribosomal RNA", at positions 8 to 406 of the family's 1533-position model. The record is from RNAcentral.